UAGGGAAUCUUCGGCAAUGGGGGGAACCCUGACCGAGCAACGCCGCGUGAGUGAAGAAGGUUUUCGGAUCGUAAAGCUCUGUUGUUAAGGAAGAACAAGUGUGAGAAUGGAAAGUUCAUGCUGUGACGGUACUUAACCAGAAAGGGACGGCUAACUACGUGCCAGCAGCCGCGGUAAUACGUAGGUCCCGAGCGUUGUCCGGAUUUAUUGGGCGUAAAGCGAGCGCAGGCGGUUAGAAAAGUCUGAAGUGAAAGGCAGUGGCUCAACCAUUGUAGGCUUUGGAAACUGUUUAACUUGAGUGCAGAAGGGGAGAGUGGAAUUCCAUGUGUAGCGGUGAAAUGCGUAGAUAUAUGGAGGAACACCGGUGGCGAAAGCGGCUCUCUGGUCUGUAACUGACGCGGAGGCUCGAAAGCGUGGGGAGCGAACAGG
Molecule: ribosomal RNA, 429 nt
Filed under: Bacteroidota bacterium
Lineage: Bacteria; Pseudomonadati; Bacteroidota
Description: Bacteroidetes bacterium partial 16S ribosomal RNA
Rfam family: Bacterial small subunit ribosomal RNA
Source: RNAcentral